RNAcentral lists this ribosomal RNA (427 nucleotides) under uncultured bacterium. RNAcentral describes it as "partial 16S ribosomal RNA". It matches the Rfam family "Bacterial small subunit ribosomal RNA", at positions 355 to 774 of the family's 1533-position model. The record is from RNAcentral.
UGGGGAAUAUUGCACAAUGGGCGCAAGCCUGAUGCAGCCAUGCCGCGUGUGUGAAGAAGGUCUUCGGAUUGUAAAGCACUUUAAGUUGGGAGGAAGGGCAGUAAGUUAAUACCUUGCUGUUUUGACGUUACCGACAGAAUAAGCACCGGCUAACUCUGUGCCAGCAGCCGCGGUAAUACAGAGGGUGCAAGCGUUAAUCGGAAUUACUGGGCGUAAAGCGCGCGUAGGUGGUUUGUUAAGUUGGAUGUGAAAGCCCCGGGCUCAACCUGGGAACUGCAUCCAAAACUGGCAAGCUAGAGUACGGUAGAGGGUGGUGGAAUUUCCUGUGUAGCGGUGAAAUGCGUAGAUAUAGGAAGGAACACCAGUGGCGAAGGCGACCACCUGGACUGAUACUGACACUGAGGUGCGAAAGCGUGGGGAGCAAACA